AGCUGCCUUCGCCAUGGGAUGUUCCUCCUGAUCUCUACGCAUUUCACUGCUACACCAGGAAUUCCGCUACCCUCUACCACACUCUAGUCGCCCAGUAUCCACUGCAGUUCCCAGGUUGAGCCCAGGGCUUUCACAACGGACUUAAACGACCACCUACGCACGCUUUACGCCCAGUAAUUCCGAGUAACGCUUGCACCCUUCGUAUUACCGCGGCUGCUGGCACGAAGUUAGCCGGUGCUUAUUCUUUGGGUACCGUCAUCCCAACCGGGUAUUAGCCAGCUGGAUUUCUUUCCCAACAAAAGGGCUUUACAACCCGAAGGCCUUCUUCACCCACGCGGUAUGGCUGGAUCAGGCUUGCGCCCAUUGUCCAAUAUUCCCCACUGCUGCCUCCCGUAGGAGUCUGGACCGUGUCUCAGUUCCAGUGUGGCUGAUCAUCCUCUCAGACCAGCUACGGAUCGUCGCCUUGGUGGGCCUUUACCCCGCCAACUAGCUAAUCCGACAUCGGCUCAUUCAAUCGCGCAAGGUCCGAAGAUCCCCUGCUUUCACCCGUAGGUCGUAUGCGGUAUUAGCGUAAGUUUCCCUACGUUAUCCCCCACGACAGAGUAGAUUCCGAUGUAUUCCUCACCCGUCCGCCACUCGCCACCCAGAGAGCAAGCUCUCCUGUGCUGCCGUUCGACUUGCAUGUGUUA
Molecule: ribosomal RNA, 689 nt
Filed under: Stenotrophomonas maltophilia
Lineage: Bacteria; Pseudomonadati; Pseudomonadota; Gammaproteobacteria; Lysobacterales; Lysobacteraceae
Description: partial 16S rRNA
Source: RNAcentral